This 291-nucleotide ribosomal RNA is filed under the name uncultured bacterium. RNAcentral's name for it is "partial 16S ribosomal RNA". The record is from RNAcentral.
GGACUACAAGGGUAUCUAAUCCUGUUUGCUCCCCACGCUUUCGCGCCUCAGCGUCAGUUACAGCCCAGAGAGUCGCCUUCGCCACUGGUGUUCCUCCACAUAUCUACGCAUUUCACCGCUACACGUGGAAUUCCACUCUCCUCUUCUGUACUCAAGUCAUCCAGUUUCCAGUGCGACCCGGGGUUGAGCCCCGGGAUUAAACACCAGACUUAAAUGACCGCCUGCGCGCGCUUUACGCCCAAUAAUUCCGGACAACGCUUGCCCCCUACGUAUUACCGCGGCGGCUGGCAC